AAACAAUAAACAAAUAGCUACUCACUCAACUUAUAUCUAUAUAUAGUCUAAAUUUUGAUGCAACAAACAUUGCACAUGUACUCAAAUACGUCUUUGAUCUUACAUACCAAGAGUUAGAGAUACGAAUAUGAACAUGAAGUUUGGAACCAUUCUCCCGAUUGCUUUUGUUUUGUUCGCUCUUUUUAGCCACACUUAUAGUGGGAGAGACUAUUGCCAAGAAGAAGUGACAAUGGAAGGCAAAUGUGGCAAGGGUAUGAUUGACUGCAUGAUCGCAAUAGUACAAAAAGUUGGAAAACCCCUUAUAGAUGCCACAUGCCGCUGUGAUUCUCUUGGUAAUAAUAACCGCAAAUGCAUUUGUACUUAUGUAUGCGUUAAGUAAUUGAAAAGUAAUAAUAUAUAUCCUCCUAAUUAGUCCUAAACAUCGUUCUCGUUAUUGUCUUAGUUCCCAAAUAUAAAAACCAUUCAAAUGUUUGUGUUUAAUAUUUUGAAACCAUUAGGAAAAAAAUUGAAUAUGUCUGUCAGUUUUUUUUUCCGAAAUUAGAAGGAUAUAUAUUUAAAAAAGAUGCGUUUAUGGAGGAUGUAUUAUUAUUAUUAUUAUUAAGAUCUUGGAAGGAGUGACAUGUUACAUAUUUAUAUCUUAUGAAUCCCUACUUAGUGGAAAUUCAGUAUAUUUGUAUCGUGUUAUAUAUUGAGUAGUUCUUUUAA
Arachis ipaensis is the source of this 705-nucleotide non-coding RNA. NCBI's taxonomy places the organism in Eukaryota, Viridiplantae, Streptophyta, Magnoliopsida, Fabales, Fabaceae. The record is from RefSeq and is a predicted model, not a curated record.